CUAUGCACUUGAGCUCAAAAAUUUAUAGAGAAAUGAAGGAUUUUACUUGAGUUCUUAUGGAGAAAAUUGAGAAAAAGUGAAGAGAAAAUGAAUAGGUGCUAAAAUGAAUGAGCCGAGAUAAUUUUCUGCCCAAAAAAAGGUUCCCAUGUGAAAUAAGUAAAAAAAAAAAAAAUCCAAAAAUUCUCAGCUGGGAAAGUAAUGGCCACUACAAGCAUUACUUAGUUGUCAAUAACGGCCGUUACCUUAAAAUAACGGCCGUAAUGGCCUUUACAGUUUCAAUUUUAAAAAUCCUUUAUAUAACGGUGGUAAUGGUAACCCAAAAUUCCUUUGGAUAACAGCCAUUACAUAAUGUAACGGCUGUUAUUUAAAACAGUGCAUAUGAGUGCAUCAGGGGAGUUGCUGUAAUUUGUGUAUGAGUUUGUGAGCUGCUUCUUGUUUGUCUUGCUCAAGUUCACAUUUGCCUUUCCAUGUACUUUGAAUUUAUUUGGUUAAUAAAUUUUCUGCUAGAAUUUGGUAGAAUUUUAGAAUUGGUUUCUUUUUUAACAAUUGAAACAUGCACUUAUUAUUUUGGUUGCUGAUUCUCAAUAUGCAAUGGACUUUUCUUUGCCUGUAUGGGUGAGCAGUUACGUCGAAUAUGCAGGACAUCUGGAGUGCAGGUUUCCUUUGACACCACAAAUACACGGGAUUCUUUCUAUCGUGCAUCUGUUGACUAUGUUUUGAAAGUAUGCAGCAGUGCCCCAAGUUACCAUAAUGUUAUUCAAAUUGAUGGUGAAGAUGCACAGCGGUUCAUUGCUGGGCUUGCUGAAAACAUUGGGCUUGAGAAUAUUCGUGCUGCUAGAAUGGUGUCUGCAGCUGUUGCUGCUCGCACACGAUCGUGUUUCUUACAGGCAUGGGCUCUAGAAGUCCAAGGUAAACAUUCUGAAGCAGUACUGGAACUGUCAAAGAUAUGCCUUGUUCUCCGAGCAUUUCCUCCUGAAGAAUCCUCACCUGAGAUGGAGAUGGUUGCUCGGGGCCUAGGAAAACACUUGAAAGUGGAGCAGAGGGAACUUUUAAUGGAUAUGUAUGUUUCAGUUUGCAGUGAAGAGUCUCAUAGAAGUGCAGCAGAUGCUCUUGGUUUGAUGCUCUCACCUAGAGGUUUUGGUGAUCAACAUGAAAGCAAGCAUACAUGAAUAUUGUCUUGAAAUACAUUUUAAUUUUUUUUAUUAUACAUGUAUUAAUUGCAAUUUAAUAAAGGUCAUAGUGUAGAUUGCCAAUUAAUCAAAUAUCAUUAAUUUCUUGUUCUGAGUAAUAUUGUUCAGUUAUUUACUCUGCAAGUGCGACUGUUAUCUUUCCUGGGUUUGUAUGUUGGUGUUAUUUGUCGGGUGUGAUUACAUAGAGUUCAAGC
Molecule: unclassified non-coding RNA, 1384 nt
Filed under: Hevea brasiliensis (rubber tree)
Lineage: Eukaryota; Viridiplantae; Streptophyta; Magnoliopsida; Malpighiales; Euphorbiaceae
Source: RNAcentral